UAGUAACCAAAUUCCUUUGUUGACAGGCUCCUACUUUCCAUAAAUUCGAAAUUUGCGGCUGGAAAACUUAUAUUGCGAGUUUUAGUGCCUGAUUUUGAUGCCUAUGUUAAGGGAUGCUCUCCAUCAUCCCUUUUUCCAUGCAGCUCAGCACCCACAUACACCUGUUCUUGCAAUUUUUCAGCUAUUGCGUCAGCGAGUUCCCUCAAAGGAAGCAUGCCUGCCAAAACAAAAGCUCAUUCAUGGAGUACAAUACACACACAAUGCAAGCAUUUUGAUGAAAAUCCAACAAGCUGCAUAGUCCAGCACACUUGGAUCAAACACAACGACUCAUUAGUUUUGCACAAAAUAAAUACCCUUCGAUAAAAACCCAACAGAUUGUAUAAUCCAAAAAGACUUGAAUCAAACACAACUGUUUGUUUGUCAUUGUUUUUUAACUGUCAGUUUUCAAAUAUGUUUUAACAAUAAUUCUUGGGGAAAAAAUGAAUCCAUUUUGUGGACCAUCCAUUGUCAGCAAACAGAAAACUUGUUUGGUGAGUUAACUCUAAGAACAAGUUUCAAAGCCUGCUUUAUUUUGAAUUUGUCAAAUAAAAAAUAUAAAACUAUUUACUAGCUGUU
Neltuma alba is the source of this 615-nucleotide long non-coding RNA. RefSeq lists it as uncharacterized. The record is from RefSeq and is a predicted model, not a curated record. NCBI's taxonomy places the organism in Eukaryota, Viridiplantae, Streptophyta, Magnoliopsida, Fabales, Fabaceae. The transcript has 2 exons.